RNAcentral lists this ribosomal RNA (255 nucleotides) under uncultured bacterium. RNAcentral's name for it is "partial 16S ribosomal RNA". It matches the Rfam family "Bacterial small subunit ribosomal RNA", at positions 524 to 779 of the family's 1533-position model. The record is from RNAcentral.
UACGGGGGGGCAAGCGUUGUUCGGAAUUACUGGGCGUAAAGGGCUCGUAGGUGGCCAACUAAGUCAGACGUGAAAUCCCUCGGCUUAACCGGGGAACUGCGUCUGAUACUGGAUGGCUAGAGUUUGGGAGAGGGAUGCGGAAUUCCAGGUGUAGCGGUGAAAUGCGUAGAUAUCUGGAGGAACACCGGUGGCGAAGGCGGCAUCCUGGACCAAUACUGACGCUGAGGAGCGAAAGCCAGGGGAGCAAAGCGGGAU